RNAcentral lists this ribosomal RNA (466 nucleotides) under uncultured bacterium. Its description in RNAcentral is "partial 16S ribosomal RNA". It matches the Rfam family "Bacterial small subunit ribosomal RNA", at positions 28 to 507 of the family's 1533-position model. The record is from RNAcentral.
GACGAACGCUGGCGGCGCGCCUAACACAUGCAAGUCGAACGAGCGAGAGAGAGCUUGCUUUCUCGAGCGAUUGGCGAACGGGUGAGUAACGCGUGAGGAACCUGCCUCAAAGAGGGGGAUAACAGUUGGAAACGACUGCUAAUACCGCAUAAGCCCACGCUUCCGCAUGGCACAGAGGGAAAAGGAGCAAUCCGCGUUGAGAUGGCCUCGCGUCCGAUUAGCUAGUUGGUGAGGUAAUGGCCCACCAAGGCGACGAUCGGUAGACGGACUGAGAGGUUGAACGGCCACAGUGGGACUGAGACACGGCCCAGAAUCCUACGGGAGGCAGCAGUGGGGAAUAUAGCACAAUGGGGGAAACCCUGAUGCAGCGACGCCGCGUGGAGGAAGAAGGUGGUCGGAUUGUAAACUCCUGUUGUUGGGGAAGAUAAUGACGGUACCCAACAAGGAAGUGACGGCUAACUACGUG